UACGUAGGGCGCAAGCGUUGUUCGGAAUUACUGGGCGUAAAGGGCGCGUAGGCGGCCUUCUAAGUCAGACGUGAAAUCCCCCGGCUUAACCUGGGAACUGCGUCUGAUACUGGAGGGCUUGAGUAUGGGAGAGGGAUGUAGAAUUCCAGGUGUAGCGGUGAAAUGCGUAGAUAUCUGGAGGAAUACCGGUGGCGAAGGCGGCAUCCUGGACCAUUACUGACGCUGAGGCGCGAAAGCUAGGGGAGCAAACGGG
RNAcentral lists this ribosomal RNA (253 nucleotides) under uncultured bacterium. Its description in RNAcentral is "partial 16S ribosomal RNA". It matches the Rfam family "Bacterial small subunit ribosomal RNA", at positions 524 to 776 of the family's 1533-position model. The record is from RNAcentral.